GCCUUCCUGCUCUUCCACGGAGCUAUUUUUUAGGGAAAAAGAGAGUUCCUUAUACUUAUAACCAUGCUUUGAAAUGGUAGGAAUAAAAUAGAAAAGAAACAUAUAUAUUAUCCAUAACAAAGAAGUUGUUUCUAGAUUACUGAGAUCAAUUUUAUUGACAAAAUAAUAUUAGUAAGACCACCAAAUGCAACCAAAAUAGAUUAAUGUUUUAGUUUUUGCUAACAAAGAUGAAAUUGUUGAUUCAUGACCAAGGGGCAGCAUAUUUUAAAAAAUAUAUACAGCAUUAAGACAUAUAGCAAAGUCAACAUUGCUAUCAUGGAACUACAUUUCAUGCAUUAUUGGCCUCAUUUUGAGCAAUAUUCUCCCAGAAGCCAGAAAGGUGCCUCCAAUAUGCUAAUAGGAUUAUGCCUUAAAUUUGUAUAGCAGUGCUUGAUUUUACUGAAACUGUCAUACUUGAAGACUCACCUGGUUAUCUAUUCUCCGAGACUCAUGUAAAGAUGUGCUAAUGACGUGGAGCCCCCCAAGCCU
RNAcentral lists this unclassified non-coding RNA (528 nucleotides) under Hevea brasiliensis (rubber tree). The record is from RNAcentral. Lineage: Eukaryota; Viridiplantae; Streptophyta; Magnoliopsida; Malpighiales; Euphorbiaceae.